CAACAGCGGUUCUAGAGCCGCGCCUGGGCGGGCGUGUGGGAGGGGCCUGUCGAGAUAUUUAGCGGCAGUGAAGGCCACGCCCCAAGUCGGAAGUGACGGAGCCGAGCUAGCGCGACGAGGCCACCUCUAUGGUCUUCCUCUCCUUCUGGAGUCGGGAAAUGGCCGCUGUGUAGUUACAGCGGAGGUAAAUCCCGAGAACCGUGCUUCGGCGUGUCAGGUAGGCCUUGCGCUGCAUUCAAGUCACUCGAAGAAGAAGAAAGUCGAGGAGACGGGACGGUUGGGUAUUGACAACUCUCAUGUGUGGUGACGGAUCGGCGGCGAGAAAGGAGACUCCCGAGCCGUUCCUUGAAUUUGAAUUUAAGAGUUUAGUUUCCCAUAACAUUCUCUACAAGAAGAAUCUUGGCAGUAUCUUAAAGACUUCAGUGACUUCUGGAUCCUGCGUAAACCUCAAGGAGAAGAGAAAUGGGUCGCUCCAAUUCUAGAUCACAUUCUUCAAGAUCCAAGUCUAGAUCACAAUC
Molecule: long non-coding RNA, 518 nt
Organism: Mastomys coucha (southern multimammate mouse)
Lineage: Eukaryota; Metazoa; Chordata; Mammalia; Rodentia; Muridae
Exons: 3
Source: RefSeq, a predicted model, not a curated record